CAUAGAGAUAUAGACACAGAUGCAAAUACAGUCACAUAGAGAUAUAGACACACACUUAUACACACAUAUAUGUAAAUAUACACACAGUCUCAUUCACUUUAUACCACACAUGUAUAAACAUACACAAUUGUAUGUAGACACACAUACACAUAGGUACUCAGACCACAUAGAUACAUAUGUACACACAUACAAAUAUAUGCACAUACACAGAUAUAUAUAUACACACAUGCAUCUUUAACCAGAACAACUUUACUUUUGUCAGUUUUAUAUGACAGAGUCUUUAAAAAAAGAUUUCAUCUGGCUUGUGUUCUACUAUUAAAAGAGAAAAUGAAUUUGCUUGUU
Molecule: long non-coding RNA, 342 nt
Filed under: Pan troglodytes (chimpanzee)
Lineage: Eukaryota; Metazoa; Chordata; Mammalia; Primates; Hominidae
Description: lincRNA
Source: RNAcentral